This is a long non-coding RNA of Hyla sarda, 894 nucleotides long. RefSeq lists it as uncharacterized. The record is from RefSeq and is a predicted model, not a curated record. Lineage: Eukaryota; Metazoa; Chordata; Amphibia; Anura; Hylidae. The transcript is spliced from 3 exons.
GGCAUGUGAGGAUAUCAAACCAAUAGGUUACGUAAAAAAAGGAAUUAAAAGGACAAAGGUGAAAAGAAACCGAAGAAGGAUCAGGAUUGGCGGAGCCUCCAGAGGUGACAGGACACUGGGCAGGAGCCACAGGAUGGGGGAGGGGGCGGUGCUGGCACGGUGACUCCUGGCAGGGCUGCAUUCUUACUGAGAUCCUCUGUGGGGCACACGGCCGUAGGAGAAGCUGCUCGAUUUAAGGUGAAAUCACCAGAGAAAACAUUUACAACAAUUUUUAGAUUUUAUCGUUCCAAGAUGGAUCCAGAAUUAAUGGAGAAAUUAUCGGAGGAGAUGAAGAACGUGACCGGGAAAAUGGGGGAGAUCCAGGGCGUCCCCCUCCCCGAGACCACCUGGGACCAGAUCUACAACCUUCAGGUGCGAGGAAGACAACACCUUGAUCUGACCAUUUUCUAAAGCAGUUAGUUUAUGUUUCUUAGACCAAAAAAGACUCCAUGGUCUUCUACUUUUACUUCCAGAGGAUAAAUAAGGGUCUGCCGGAUCCUGCGACCUGUUCCUUGGGGGAGCUGCUUUGACCAUGUUAUCGGAUGGUGGAACGCAAAAGACAAACACCAUACUCUCUAUGUCUUCUACGAGGACAUGAUGGAGGUGAGGACAGGGACUGAUGGAGGUGAGGACGAGGACUUCCUUACAUACACUCAGUUCAGUUACUUACAUUAUCUCCUGUAUUCUGUCCUUGUGACUUUUCCCUGGUCUGCACUCUGAUAUAUUUAUUACAAUUUAUGUGUUGACUUUUGUGCAGUGGACACGGGAAGAAUUUCAGAUCAGAGCGGCAUAUGAAACGCUGAUUGUAAGAAAUUCUCCUCAUCGAUCUACUUUUUUACGUCUUCCAAGAGGGGG